AUGAAAUUUCAAGGAUCUCUCCAUACUAAAAGAGAUAAGGAUCACCUAAAACAAGGUCGUCUUGUACAGUACUGUUUAUAUGACAAGUGGCUAAAGGGUCAAAGCUCAAGACCAGUGAGCAAAUCUAUUGUUUUGAACGCUGACGCUCCUAGUUGCCAAAAUCAAUCUAAACCUGCACUUUCAUCUUCUAAAGGAAUAGAAGUAUGUAGGAGUAUUUAUCUAGCAACUUGGGGGCACAAAGAGGAGUGCAUAAGUUCAAAGAAACUAUGGUGUAAUAGAUUGUUUCAUAGGAAGUGUCAAGAUUUACUGAGCAAUUGUGAACAGGUAUGGUCAAAUGUUCUAUAUUCAAAGUAG
Molecule: ribosomal RNA, 354 nt
Filed under: Triticum aestivum (bread wheat)
Lineage: Eukaryota; Viridiplantae; Streptophyta; Magnoliopsida; Poales; Poaceae
Description: partial small subunit ribosomal RNA
Source: RNAcentral